AACGAACGCUGGCGGCAUGCCUAACACAUGCAAGUCGAACGAGACCUUCGGGUCUAGUGGCGCACGGGUGCGUAACGCGUGGGAAUCUACCCUUGGGUUCGGAAUAACUCAGAGAAAUUUGAGCUAAUACCGGAUGAUGUCGAAAGACCAAAGAUUUAUCGCCCAAGGAUGAGCCCGCGUAGGAUUAGCUAGUUGGUGAGGUAAAGGCUCACCAAGGCAACGAUCCUUAGCUGGUCUGAGAGGAUGAUCAGCCACACUGGGACUGAGACACGGCCCAGACUCCUACGGGAGGCAGCAGUGGGGAAUAUUGGACAAUGGGCGAAAGCCUGAUCCAGCAAUGCCGCGUGAGUGAUGAAGGGCCUUAGGGUUGUAAAAGCUCUUUUAGCAGGGAAGAAGCGAAAAGUUGACGGUACCUGCAG
Molecule: ribosomal RNA, 419 nt
Filed under: uncultured bacterium
Lineage: Bacteria
Description: bacterial SSU rRNA
Rfam family: Bacterial small subunit ribosomal RNA
Source: RNAcentral